This 253-nucleotide ribosomal RNA is filed under the name uncultured bacterium. RNAcentral's name for it is "partial 16S ribosomal RNA". It matches the Rfam family "Bacterial small subunit ribosomal RNA", at positions 524 to 776 of the family's 1533-position model. The record is from RNAcentral.
GACGGAGGAUGCAAGUGUUAUCCGGAAUCACUGGGCGUAAAGCGUCUGUAGGUGGUCAAAUAAGUCAACUGUUAAAUCUUGAGGCUCAACCUCAAAAUCGCAGUCGAAACUAUUAGACUAGAGUAUAGUAGGGGUAAAGGGAAUUUCCAGUGGAGCGGUGAAAUGCGUAGAGAUUGGAAAGAACACCAAUGGCGAAGGCAGCCCCCUGGGAUAACACUGACGCUCAUGCACGAAAGCGUGGGGAGCAAACAGG